RNAcentral lists this long non-coding RNA (615 nucleotides) under Vulpes vulpes (red fox). RNAcentral's name for it is "lncRNA (ENSVVUG00000006746.1)". Lineage: Eukaryota; Metazoa; Chordata; Mammalia; Carnivora; Canidae. The record is from RNAcentral.
UAUGAAGUAAAUACAUCCAGGGUGUGUUGACUUCUCACCAGCCAAACACUGGCUACCUGAACACCAUCUCCCUGAGUAUCUUACUUCUUAAAUGACUCUGCUUACCGCAUAACAUAUGGAAAUAUUGGUGGGAAACUUAAAAUGUGCAAUAACAACUCUGGGGAAAGACAGGAAAUCGGAAGAAUUGGAAAGUCGUCUAGUGAAUCCUCAGCCACCUCCUCUCUUCAGAUAUUGUGGGCUUGGAAUCAAGUGUGGACUGGAAAUUCAACAACUGGCUGGGUCUGUGUCUCGUGAACUCUGCCUGGCAUGAACACUUCUGUUUCAGCACAUCUGUGAUUGCCAUAUCACCAGCAUUUGCAGAAUGGAGGAUUAAUUUUAUUGUGCACUGGAUCAGCAGAUCUGGUGACAUAAUAUUGCACUACGAAGAAGGAUUACUCACCAGUUUCUGGAUGCUACAUUUUUAGAAACGAACUCCACUUAACGAUAAGUGUUGGAUCUAACAACUUCCCCCUUUUCCUCACUCCCACUCUCCAAUCACCCAACCAACAAAUAUCACUUAAUGCAAAAACCGGCUCUCUUGGGACCAGAUGGAUAUAAUUUUUCUUCAAGAUAAAA